AAGACCUUGCACUUUUGGAGCGGCCGAUGUCUGAUUAGCUAGUUGGUGGGGUAAUGGCCUACCAAAGCUUCGAUCAGUAGCUGGUCUGAGAGGACGGCCAGCCACACUGGGACUGAGACACGGCCCAGACUCCUACGGGAGGCAGCGGUGGGGAAUUUUGGACAAUGGGCGCAAGCCUGAUCCGGCCAUGCCGCGUGAGUGAAGAAGGCCUUCGGGUUGUAAAGCUCUUUCAGCCGGGAAGAAAAGGUUGCGACUAAUAAUCGCAAUUCAUGACGGUACCGAAAGAAGAAGCACCGGCUAACUACGUGCCAGCAGCCGCGGUAAUACGUAGGGUGCGAGCGUUAAUCGGAAUUACUGGGCGUAAAGGGUGCGCAGGCGGUUUUGUAAGUCAGAUGUGAAAUCCCCGGGCUUAACCUGGGAACU
Molecule: ribosomal RNA, 423 nt
Filed under: uncultured bacterium
Lineage: Bacteria
Description: bacterial SSU rRNA
Rfam family: Bacterial small subunit ribosomal RNA
Source: RNAcentral